UUGUAUCUUGUAUGCUUAAGGUAGGCUCUGAUCACGUGUCAAAUAGCCUGUGAUUGAAUUGGGGAGAUGAAAAUAAAUACUCGCAAUGAUCACUUUGAGCAGUGUUUGGAAAGGGCCCCAAGGCCAGCUUGGAGACAGAUGUUAUGAGAAGUGAGGGGAUGGAUUUCAGUUAGAGGACUCUCUGCAGGAGGUGGCUCCUAGUUGGGCUCUGGAGUAUAGGGAGGAGGGUUUCAGCACAGAGAAGGACAAUUCGGGUCAUUCCAAGAGCAGAGAGUAGCAUGACCCCACAGGGAAGGAGGUAAGUGGGUGUGUGGAGAAAGGCUUUAGGCUCCCUUGCCUAGAAAAGUCUAGCUCAGUCCAGAGGGACCGGUUAGGAUCCAGUGACUGCUGACGAAGACCAGACCCCGGGUUGUGAGAUAGGCUGGAGGGCAUAUAAAUUUGGGUGACUAUAGGCGUUAGAUGAGCAGUCAGGUCACGACAAAGGGGCCUUGAUGGUGAUCAGAGUUGGAUUUGGGAGUGGAGAGUCAAUGAGCACGCUUUCUCUCUCUCUUCAGUUCUGGAGCACUAUGCAGAGAAUUCAAAACAAAUACAGAACAAGUAAACAAAACCCAACAGCGGAGUUUUCAUUUUCGGCUCAUCUCUGUAAGUCAUUUCUCCAUCUUAGACAUCUCAUUCUGGUCGCCUAACAUCCCAUUUCUUCUUUCUAGAAAUCUCCAGCACGUAGCCCCAGGUAGAGAGUAGAGUCCCCUGGCUGCCACGGAGAAGAGGGAGUGGACCUUGGAAUCUGACAGCUACACCCAUCACCACUCUGGGUGACUCAGUGGUCUUCAGUCAGCAGUGUGACCUCCACAUCCUGGGGAUGCCUCUUUCUGAGAGAACUGAUUCUGGAGACUUUGGAUACAGUGUCGGGACAUGAGGAGUGGAGCCUGAGGAAGGCCUGUCUUCCAUGUCCCUGCUCCAGGACCCACGGGGAGAGUGUAGAGGAACCAGGAGGACCCAUGGCUUUCUUCCCAUGCCCAAGUGUGCCUGGCAUGCCUGGCCCGACCAGCAGAGGGCGCUGCCCCCUGCUCCACGGCUGAGGUGGCCUCCUCCUGCCCUCUUGGGAACUGCUUGCUCCCUAUGCAUCCACAAAGUUUGAGAACAAGUACGUUGAUUAAUAAGAAUGAUAAAGUGCAGCAACCUAGAGGAACAAGUAGAUUACAAUUGAAUUAAAAAAAUAAAAAGGACAUAGUCCUGUGAAAAGACAUAACUGAUUACAAUCCAAUCAAGUGAACGUCCCUUGCAGAAGUCAAUGCAAUCUUUCUGCUUAGAUGAAAGAAUUACAUUAGCACUCAAUAAAUUCCUGUGAAAAUUACAGCAGCCUACAAUUUAAUGACUUAAUAUAUUAUAACAGCCUGCACAAUCCUGAUUAUAGUUCCUAAAUAAAAGUUGGAGUUGGAGGCAUUUCUCAGACACGAGGUUGUACCCACCAGGCUCUGUCCUCUGGUGUUGUGUUAACGCCUGGAGGAGUGGGGGGUACCAGGAGACUAAGCUGCUGUCGCUUGCUGCCCCCUGAACUCACAGCCCAUCCCUUGGCUCUUGGGAGCUGAGUUUCUUUAUGGCACUGAACUGCUUUCUUGGUAGCCCCUGCUCCUCCCAGGCUGCUGCUGGGACAACUUUUGGAGGUGGUGUUGUGCCGGGCACUGGGAUCCAGCAAAGCUGUGCUUCAGGGGAGGCUUUGGCCUGACUCAAGCAGGACAAUCUGCCCUCCUGGGACACCUCAGUUCCUGCUAGCCUAGCCAGCACCGCCAGGGUCUUGCCACCCCGCUAACACCCCCAAGGCAAGAGCCAGAUAACUGGGGGUGUCUGAGGCUCCCAUAGCUGCUAUCUAGUUAGCCUCACUGUCCUGUUCUGUGGGUCACUUUUGACGGCUCUGGGCAAUCUCAGCUCCUGCUGUUGGGCUUUGACAGCUAGACACCCCAGUGGGGUCAGAAACACAAUGCCAGGCUGUCUUUGUGACCACAGAGGCUCGCCCAGCGAUGGGCUAGCUAAGUGGAAAUGGGAAGAAGAUCCUGGAAACAAGACAAGUGUAGGAUGUAGACAGACGAAAUGCUCUAGAGUUCUGGGCCACUUUGUGAGUGACAUUGGGCAAGUCCCUUCACCUCUGUGGUUCUCCCCCUUCUUCCUCAUUUAUAAAAUGGGAGUGUAAAGUUUAAUCCUGAAACGUCCCCCACAGGCUUAUAAAUUCUGAAUAUUUGUUUCCCAGUUGAUGUUGUUUUGGGAGGGUGUGGAGUGUUUCAGGGGUGGGAAGCAGGUCAUUAGGGAUGGUCCUUGAAGGGUUUACUUGUCCCUGGCUCUUGCCUCUCUUUCUCUUUCCAGACUUGCUGCUAUGAGGUCCUCCCUGCCUUCUCCAUGAUGAUGGACUGAGACCCUUUGAAACCAUGAGUCAAAAAGGAGUGUUCUCUUCCCUUCCUGUUUCUGGCCCGUAGUUUGUCAGAACAUAAAAUUAACUGAUGAGAAAUGGGCUACCAGCA
Molecule: long non-coding RNA, 2513 nt
Organism: Peromyscus californicus insignis
Lineage: Eukaryota; Metazoa; Chordata; Mammalia; Rodentia; Cricetidae
Exons: 3
Source: RefSeq, a predicted model, not a curated record